This is a long non-coding RNA of Seriola aureovittata, 682 nucleotides long. RefSeq lists it as uncharacterized. The record is from RefSeq and is a predicted model, not a curated record. The transcript is spliced from 3 exons. NCBI's taxonomy places the organism in Eukaryota, Metazoa, Chordata, Actinopteri, Carangiformes, Carangidae.
CCAUCCAUCCAGCUCGGGGUCGCACUUCACUCCUCUCCCUGGUCAAACCGCAUUAAAGAAAAACAGAGGAGAAGAGUUAGAGCCGCCAAGUCCUGGUUGAGAAAACUCAAAAAAGUCCAUAAAGAAGUCUGCCCCGUCCUUUCAUCACUACCAGGUUGUGGCUGUUGAAACUCCACAGGGAAGCCCAGGAAUCAGACCUGAUUAAUCCCACAAAUGGACAGGAGACGAGGAAGAUCAUUUACACCCCAGUGUACCUCUCAUAGGUACUUCCACUGGAGGGACUGGUUUAUAAACUGAUGACUGACUGGGCAGAAGUUCAGUGCUCUCCAUAAAGUACUCUAUUCAGCUACUGAUAAGUUGGACUGGACUGGACCUCCAACUGUGGGAGUACUCAGAAGACGUUGAUGUAUAGCUGCUACACAAGCUUUGGUUAUCAUUUACUCAAAAAAUAAAUUUAAACUUUUUUGACCAUCCAAAAUAAUGUAUAAACCUACAUGCAGUUUCACUCAAGAGCUGUCAAGACAGAAGACUGUCGCCAUCCCUCCAAAACCCAACACACUACAGCAACGGUUUGUGCCUGCUAUCUUUAGGCAAUUGUGGGUACUGCAAGUAAUCACAAAUUACACAUGUAUGUACGUAUGUAUGCAUAUUUAGUUGUAUAUUAGCUGUAGUAAGUGUUUUA